UGUUAUUGUACACACGCAACUUCCUGUUUCUCUCACAGAAUGAUUCCUUCGCUAGUACAAAGAACUCUUCAUCCCAUGGGGAAAAAGCCUGAACUUCUUCCAUAGUUCCGAAGUCUUUUUUUUUGGUUCUGUUACAUCUGAUCACGCUGUCUGAAACAACUGUUUUCUUCUUACUGAGAUUCGUGCAAACUUUGGCACCUUGUGAGUCUGUUUGUAAAUAUGCGCAAGUGCAUUGUUAAAGGCUGCCCAUCACGGCAGAUGCCUGGAAGAUGCUCAAGAGAGAUAAUCUUUCAUAUUUUUCCCAAAUGUCCGGUGAAAGCACGACGUUGGCUGGAAAGUACAGGGCAGCAUUUUGAGGACAUGGAUACCUUGAUCAAAGAGGUAACAGAAACCAAACGCUCAAACUACCGUCUGUGUUCAACUCAUUUCACUGUGAACAGCUAUGAAAUCAUUGGUUCACGUAAAUGCCUAAAGAAAUCAGCUAUGCCAACAAUUUAUGAGUACACAAAAAGUAGUGCACAAUCUACUCUCAAGGUACCAAAAGUUGAACCAAUAUUUUCAACGGAUAAUACCCCUAGUGCUGGAACAUCAGGUGAGACAGCGACAGCGGAAAACUCAGAACGUUUUGGGACAGAAAGGAAAUUUAUUGUGUACGAGUCCUGUCUUGAUCAACUAAUUGGAAACAUAAAAUGUAACUAUCAGGGACAUUGCAAUGGAAAUAUUCUCAAAUUUAAAAAAGAAGUUUCGGGUACAUUGUUGACUGUAAGGGGAGAGUGUGAACACGGCCAUUUUACAAUAUUAUGGAAUAGUGAACCAAUUAAAAUUAAGGUCCUAUAGGAAAUACACUUGUCUGUGCAUUAAACCAUUGUAUUUAAUACAUGUAAAUAAACAAAACAGAGUAUAGAAUAUAGUUAUAUAAACAGUGUUAAACACUAUUUUUCCAGUGCUUGUAACUGGAUUGUCUUACUACAAAUGUUGAAAAUCUGAAGUAAAUAGUUUUUUUCUGGA
Molecule: RNA transcript, 1008 nt
Organism: Bombina bombina (fire-bellied toad)
Lineage: Eukaryota; Metazoa; Chordata; Amphibia; Anura; Bombinatoridae
Exons: 4
Source: RefSeq, a predicted model, not a curated record